Molecule: ribosomal RNA, 396 nt
Filed under: uncultured bacterium
Lineage: Bacteria
Description: partial 16S ribosomal RNA
Rfam family: Bacterial small subunit ribosomal RNA
Source: RNAcentral
AUACGUAGGUGGCAAGCGUUGUCCGGAUUUACUGGGUGUAAAGGGCGUGUAGGCGGAGAUGCAAGUCAGGAGUGAAAUCUAGGGGCUCAACCCCUAAACUGCUUUUGAAACUGUAUCCCUUGAGUAUCGGAGAGGCAGGCGGAAUUCCUAGGGUAGCGGUGAAAUGCGUAGAUAUUAGGAGGAACACCAGUGGCGAAGGCGGCCUGCUGGACGACAACUGACGCUGAGGCGCGAAAGCGUGAGGAGCAAACAGGAUUAGAUACCCUGGUAGUCCACGCUGUAAACGAUGAAUACUAGGUGUGGGGGGACUGACCCCCUCCGUGCCGCAGUUAACACAAUAAGUAUUCCACCUGGGGAGUACGAUCGCAAGAUUGAAACUCAAAGGAAUUGGCGGGG